GCUAUGGAUUAGCCGUGUUGUGCUAGCCGUUAGCUAACGGAUACUGGAGGUUUUGGAUCGUCGGGUGACGUGAUAAAUUUAACACGUGUUUUGGCUAAACGGCCACCGUUAGCAACAUAUUGAUCAUACAGAUGGCCAGCAGGGAAGUGUAUUGUGCUGGAGAAGUGAUUUGAUACAUUUCUUUGGUUUCUUUGUUUUUUCCCUGCAGUGAAGGAUCGUUACCAUUGGGAUCCAUUGCAUGUUACAAUAACUCAAGCUCACCACAGGUGCUCCAAAGGAAAGCUAACAAAUGGCCACCAUUGAAACCUUCAGUCGGAUCCAGUCAGAUUCCUCUGACCUGAGAGCCAAGAGCAUUACUGGAGCACCCUGCAGACAACCGCCCGACUAACCUCAUUACAUUGCAGAGAAAAGGCAAGGAUCAAUGGAUUUUCCCUGCAAGAGUGAAACAUGACAGACAUAACGAAAGCCUUUCAUGAGAAAUGAAUGAAUAAUUCAUGGACGCUCUCUGGCUGCGCUUUGUUGUGUCUCAUACAGAUGGGAUUACAGAAGGCUAGAUCUUGGAAACAUAUGAAAGAUUAAUUUGUGAUCUGGGACACUGCUUGCUUACAAAAGGACUAAAUAAUGAUUUUACUGAGAGUGGCAGGGAUCUGGGGAUGGGUGCAACGUGCACAGGGGGCUGGACACAAAGAGCCUGCAGAGAACAUAGCACUCCGAGUAAUGUGACCUGACAGAUAUUCAAAAACUCUGUGCGAAAAGUGAACUUCAGCUCUCAAAAAAUUCUCAUUACUUUGAUUAAUGUUUUGAUGCAAUUUAAUAAAAACUGAAGUUAGUGCAGGAA
This is a long non-coding RNA of Micropterus salmoides (largemouth bass), 838 nucleotides long. RefSeq lists it as uncharacterized. The transcript has 3 exons. NCBI's taxonomy places the organism in Eukaryota, Metazoa, Chordata, Actinopteri, Centrarchiformes, Centrarchidae. The record is from RefSeq and is a predicted model, not a curated record.